This 279-nucleotide unclassified non-coding RNA is filed under the name plant metagenome. Its description in RNAcentral is "partial contains small subunit ribosomal RNA, internal transcribed spacer 1, and 5.8S ribosomal RNA". The record is from RNAcentral.
UUUCCGUUGGUGAACCUGCGGAAGGAUCAUUAUUGAAUAACCGAGCUUCGAGCUCUGUCGCUGACUCGACAUGUCGUUCACGCCCGAUUCCCCUCCCACCCAUCCAUCUCACCCCUAUGUGCACCACCGCUUUGGUCCCCCUUUGGCUUGUUCAAAGGGAGACUUAAGUUUUCACACCAACUAUGUAUCCCUUGUAUAAUGUAUUUUUUGUUUUUGCGACCACGCGAUCAAUAAAACUUUUGACAACGGAUCUCUUGGCUUCCUCAUCGAUGAAGAACC